GAUGAACGCUCGCUGUGUGCCUAAUACAUGCAUGUUGAACGGGAUGUAGCAAUGCAUUCAGUAGCGAAUGGGUGAGUAACACGUACCUAACCUACCUUUAAGACUGGGAUAACUAUUGGAAACAAUAGCUAAUACCGGAUAUAGUUAUUUAUCGCAUGAUGAGUAAUAGAAAGGAGCUUCACAGCUUCACUUAAAAAUGGGGGUGCGGAACAUUAGUUAGUUGGUAGGGUAAUGGCCUACCAAGACGAUGAUGUUUAGCCGGGCCGAGAGGCUGUACGGCCACACUGGGACUGAGAUACGGCCCAGACUCCUACGGGAGGCAGCAGUAAGGAAUUUUCCACAAUGAGCGAAAGCUUGAUGGAGCGACACAGCGUGCAGGAUGAAGUUCUUCGGAAUGUAAACUGCUGUUAUAAGGGAAGAAAAAAUAGAAUAGGAAAUGAUUUUAUCUUGACGGUACCUUAUUAGAAAGCGACGGCAAACUAUGUGCCAGCAGCUGCGGUAAUACAUAGGUCGCAAGCGUUAUCCGGAAUUAUUGGGCGUAAAGCGUCCGUAGGUUUUUUGCUAAGUCUGGAGUUAAAUGCUGAAGCUCAACUUCAGUCCGCUUUGGAUACUGGCAAAAUAGAAUUAUAAAGAGGUUAGCGGAAUUCCUAGUGAAGCGGUGGAAUGCGUAGAUAUUAGGAAGAACACCAAUAGGCGAAGGCAGCUAACUGGUUAUAUAUUGACACUAAGGGACGAAAGCGUGUGGAGCAAACAGG
This 755-nucleotide ribosomal RNA is filed under the name uncultured Mycoplasma sp. Its description in RNAcentral is "bacterial SSU rRNA". It matches the Rfam family "Bacterial small subunit ribosomal RNA", at positions 28 to 776 of the family's 1533-position model. Lineage: Bacteria; Bacillati; Mycoplasmatota; Mollicutes; Mycoplasmatales; Mycoplasmataceae. The record is from RNAcentral.